CGGGCUUCCAUCUCUUUCCCAGC
RNAcentral lists this microRNA (23 nucleotides) under Caenorhabditis elegans. RNAcentral describes it as "cel-miR-74-5p". Its record names the gene cel-miR-74-5p. Lineage: Eukaryota; Metazoa; Nematoda; Chromadorea; Rhabditida; Rhabditidae. The record is from miRBase by way of RNAcentral.